CAGCCCAGCCAGGUUACCUAUUGAGGGCUCUGCCUGCCCUUACCCUUAACCACCUGCUGUGAAUCAGCUGGUGCACUCAGAUAAUAAUGGAGAAAUUACAACAUGUGCCAUAGAAGAUUACACACAUCCUGCCACACUUUGCAGAUGGCUGAUACAAAAAUCAGAGACAAUGCUAAAACAAUUUAAAAGUCCACAAAUAAACCAGUGCAUUCAGCUUCUUUGUGAGGCUGUGGCUAAGGAAACUGAGCCAGCCGGCCUGAAACGCACAAUAUCAGUGUAAGCAGAUCUUAUUAAGAUUCUGUGUGGCUGUUAAAGCACCCUCAGCCAUUGCUUCCAGCUUAGCAUCACUGCUAAUGGGGAAGAGAGGGAGGGAUUAGUUUAGUCUACUUUGAGACAGCACAGAUACAUGCAGGAAGCAUCCUCUGUUGCUUGAACUUGUUUUUCGCUGACCUGCUAUGCAACGAGAAGAGUGCCAAAAAUACAGAAGAGUUGGCACAUAAAAUCCGCUUCUACUCUAUCUACAGUGUCAAGGCUAAAAAAAAGUCCUGAAUGAGCCUUAGAGAGUCAACAAAUCACUGAAAUAGCAGCUAAAGAAGGAAGUUCAGCAUGAGUUCAACUCAUUAAAAUUCCCUCUAAUGUAUGCUCCUGAAAACCAGUGGGCUGAGCGUGAUCCUGGCGAGAGAGGAAGGAUGCCUGUGAACUUGUACACAAGUAGAAAACGGACAAGGUUGACGUGACCGACCUUCAGCAUUGAAGCCUGAUUGUUGCUGUCAUCUGAGAUGGCCAUGUGGAAAGAAAAGGUCAGUGGUGCACCUUUUAGCUGGAGGUGGUAAGAAAUCAGAGCUCUGCACAGCUUGCUUGGGCAAAUCCACACCCGCGUGCAGGAGUGUGUGGCAUAUCAUAGAAUCACAGAAUCAUUAAGAUUGGAAAAGACCACUAAAACCAUCUACUCUGAUCAUCCGCUUACCACCAAUAUUGCCCACUAAACUGUGUCCCUACUACAUCUCCACAUUUCUUGAACACAUCCAGGGACGGUGAUACUGCCGCUUCCCUGGGCAGCCUGUUUCAGUGCCUAACCACUCUUUUGGAGAAGAAGGUUUUCCUAAUAUCCAACCUGAAACAUUCCUGGUGCAAAUUAAGGCC
This 1143-nucleotide long non-coding RNA is filed under the name Numida meleagris (helmeted guineafowl). RNAcentral describes it as "lncRNA (ENSNMEG00000020736.1)". Lineage: Eukaryota; Metazoa; Chordata; Aves; Galliformes; Numididae. The record is from RNAcentral.